Long non-coding RNA from Rhineura floridana, 351 nucleotides. RefSeq lists it as uncharacterized. The transcript has 3 exons. The record is from RefSeq and is a predicted model, not a curated record. Lineage: Eukaryota; Metazoa; Chordata; Lepidosauria; Squamata; Rhineuridae.
AUAGGAGCCAAAGCAAGCAAGCUGGCUGAUAAAAUAAGUAAUUCUAUUGAAUUUGAGAGGCCUGCAUCAUCAAGGAUUCUUACUAUUCAUUCAACAGUCCAAAUUAAAAGACUGAGCAAGAUAUAUAUCUGUACAAUAUAUGGUGUAGGUCAGAUUUAUUAUUUACAAGAUCUAAAAACGCCGAAGGAGCUCAGGAACACCCAGCUACCAAAAAUCCAAAGUACCCACUGAAUAAGACUUUUACAGAUUGAAACGUGUUUAGGAAAGAUCUAGUACAAGAUUUGAAUGCAAGAAAUGGAUUAAGGUUAUUUUAUGGCCAUACAUGAUGGUUUUUAACAAUGCUUUAUGAUU